UACGUAGGGGGCGAGCGUUGUCCGGAAUGACUGGGCGUAAAGGGUGUGUAGGCGGUUUAUUAAGUUAGAAGUGAAAUACCUAGGGCUUAACCCAGGUGCUGCUUCUAAAACUGAUAGACUUGAGUGCAGUAGAGGAAAGUGGAAUUCCUAGUGUAGCGGUGGAAUGCGUAGAUAUAUGGAAGAACACCAGUGGCGAAAGCGGCUCUCUGGUCUGUAACUGACGCUGAGGUUCGAAAGCGUGGGUAGCAAACAGG
RNAcentral lists this ribosomal RNA (254 nucleotides) under uncultured Eubacteriales bacterium. RNAcentral describes it as "uncultured Clostridiales bacterium partial 16S ribosomal RNA". It matches the Rfam family "Bacterial small subunit ribosomal RNA", at positions 524 to 776 of the family's 1533-position model. The record is from RNAcentral. Lineage: Bacteria; Bacillati; Bacillota; Clostridia; Eubacteriales.